AAAGGGUCAGUAAUGGGAUCGAGCGUACCCAGAGGUGGAGGAUAGCGUUGGGAAACUGACGGUAAUACUCCAUGUCCUCUACGGAGAAAAAGAUUUAUCGCCUUUGGGGCGGCGAUCCUCCUAUCAGGUAGUUGGCGGGGUAAAAGCCCACCAAGCCGAAGACGGGUAGCGGGUGUGAGAGCACGGCCCGCGACAUCGAGACUGAGACACUGCUCGGACUCCUACGGGAGGCUGCAGUAACGAAUAUUCCGCAAUGCGCGAAAGCGUGACGGAGCAAUGCCGCGUGCAGGAUGAAGCGGUUUCGCCGUGUAAACUGCUGUCAGGGGUCAGAAAUACUGAUCUGCCCCCAAAGGAAGGGCCGGCUAACCCUGUGCCAGCAGCCGCGGUAAUAAU
RNAcentral lists this ribosomal RNA (393 nucleotides) under uncultured bacterium. Its description in RNAcentral is "bacterial SSU rRNA". It matches the Rfam family "Bacterial small subunit ribosomal RNA", at positions 100 to 527 of the family's 1533-position model. The record is from RNAcentral.